RNAcentral lists this ribosomal RNA (424 nucleotides) under uncultured bacterium. RNAcentral describes it as "bacterial SSU rRNA". It matches the Rfam family "Bacterial small subunit ribosomal RNA", at positions 355 to 771 of the family's 1533-position model. The record is from RNAcentral.
UGGGGAAUAUUGGACAAUGGGCGAAAGCCUGAUCCAGCCAUGCCGCGUGUGUGAAGAAGGUCUUCGGAUUGUAAAGCACUUUAAGUUGGGAGGAAGGGCAGUAAGCGAAUACCUUGCUGUUUUGACGUUACCGACAGAAUAAGCACCGGCUAACUCUGUGCCAGCAGCCGCGGUAAUACAGAGGGUGCAAGCGUUAAUCGGAAUUACUGGGCGUAAAGCGCGCGUAGGUGGUUGGUUAAGUUGGAUGUGAAAGCCCCGGGCUCAACCUGGGAACUGCAUCCAAAACUGGCCGACUAGAGUACAGUAGAGGGUGGUGGAAUUUCCUGUGUAGCGGUGAAAUGCGUAGAUAUAGGAAGGAACACCGGUGGCGAAGGCGGCCAUCUGGUCCGGAACUGACGCUGAGGCGCGAAAGCGUGGGGAGCAA